RNAcentral lists this ribosomal RNA (364 nucleotides) under uncultured bacterium. Its description in RNAcentral is "bacterial SSU rRNA". It matches the Rfam family "Bacterial small subunit ribosomal RNA", at positions 29 to 376 of the family's 1533-position model. The record is from RNAcentral.
AACGAACGCUGGCGGCGUGCCUAACACAUGCAAGUCGUGCGAGAAAGUUCCUUCGGGAGCGAGUAAAGCGGCGCACGGGUGAGUAACACGUAGGUAACCUGCCCCCCAGUCUGGAACAACUAGAGGAAACUCUAGCUAAUGCCGGAUGAGACCACGAUCCCUUCGGGGGUUGCGCCAAAGAUGGCCUCUACUUGUAAGCUAUCGCUGAGGGAUGGGCCUGCGGGCCAUUAGCUUGUUGGUGAGGUAACGGCUCACCAAGGCUGUGAUGGCUAGCUGGUCUGAGAGGAUGACCAGCCACACUGGGACUGAGACACGGCCCAGACUCCUACGGGAGGCAGCGAGUGGGGAAUAUUGCGCAAGUGGG